RNAcentral lists this RNase P RNA (303 nucleotides) under Candidatus Woesearchaeota archaeon. RNAcentral's name for it is "RNase P RNA component". It matches the Rfam family "Archaeal RNase P". From Rfam's summary of the family: Ribonuclease P (RNase P) is a ubiquitous endoribonuclease, found in archaea, bacteria and eukarya as well as chloroplasts and mitochondria. Its best characterised activity is the generation of mature 5'-ends of tRNAs by cleaving the 5'-leader elements of precursor-tRNAs. Cellular RNase Ps are ribonucleoproteins. The record is from RNAcentral. Lineage: Archaea; Nanobdellati; Candidatus Woesearchaeota.
GGUAGAGAGCGAAGGGGAAACCUCGGUUAAACCCAGGAAAGUCCGCCCACCUAAGAAAGGCCACUCAUCGCAAGGUGAGAAUCAGAAAUGGUUGUCUCUGGCUCAGAAACGACACGUCCAUACAUCGGGAUGAAAAUGGCGAAGUUUGUUGAGAAACAGACAAGUUAACCCAAAGACUAUGUUGUAUGGGAACGAUGAAACGGCGAAUACUGGCUGGUGCAAGUUGUUACAACGCUUAGUAGAAUGCUCUUACAGAUGGUCUGAAUACAGCAUCUGACAAAAGGCGGCUUAUUCCACCCUACC